Molecule: long non-coding RNA, 495 nt
Organism: Oncorhynchus tshawytscha (Chinook salmon)
Lineage: Eukaryota; Metazoa; Chordata; Actinopteri; Salmoniformes; Salmonidae
Source: Ensembl
GUUGUGUAGUGUGUAGUGUUGUGUUGUGUGUAAUAGUGUUGUGUAGUGUUGUGUAGUGUGUAGUGUUGUGUUGUGUGUAAUAGUGUUGUGUAGUGUUGUGUAGUGUGUUGUGUAGUGUUGUGUAGUGUUGUGUAGUGUGUAGUGUUGUGUUGUGUGUAAUAGUGUUGUGUAGUGUUGUGUAGUGUGUAGUGUUGUGUAGUGUGUAAUAGUGUUGUGUAGUGUGUAGUGUUGUGUUGUGUGUAAUAGUGUUGUGUAGUGUUGUGUAGUGUGUAGUGUUGUGUAGUGUGUAAUAGUGUUGUGUAGUGUGUAGUGUUGUGUUGUGUGUAAUAGUGUUGUGUAGUGUUGUGUAGUGUGUAGUGUUGUGUAGUGUGUAAUAGUGUUGUGUAGUGUGUAGUGUUGUGUUGUGUGUAAGUGUUGUGUUUGUUGUGUAGUGUUGUGUUGUGUAGUGUUGUGUAGUGUGUAGUGUUGUGUUGUGUGUAAUAGUGUUGUGUAGUG